This 253-nucleotide ribosomal RNA is filed under the name uncultured bacterium. Its description in RNAcentral is "partial 16S ribosomal RNA". It matches the Rfam family "Bacterial small subunit ribosomal RNA", at positions 524 to 776 of the family's 1533-position model. The record is from RNAcentral.
UACGUAGGUCCCGAACGUUGCGCGAAUUUACUGGGCGUAAAGGGUCCGUAGGCGGGUUAGCAAGUGGUUGGUGAAAUUUCACGGCUCAACCGUGAAACUGCCUUCCAAACUGGCAACCUUGAGGCUGGGAGAGGCCGGCGGAAUUUCCAGUGUAGAGGUGAAAUUCGUAGAUAUCGGGAGGAACACCAGUGGCGAAGGCGGCCGACUGGAACUGUGCUGACGCUGAGGGACGAAAGCUAGGGGAGCAAACCGG